AAGAAAAGAAGAUAUUAAAGCAAAUUCCAAAAGAAUUGCAAAACAGGGAUUCACUUACUGUAGAUGCUGGCUGCAAACCACUCGUUGAUGAUUUUCACCCAAGUGCUUGUCCACCCAACAUCCAUGCUCCAUCUGAUUGUUGCAAAGUGAGUAGAAGCAUAUAUACACUAGAAAAAUACUCUUACAAAAACUGCGAAAAUUAAUAUAUAUUACUCGCUUGCAGAGUUUUCCAGGUUCCAGCUGAUGAAUAACAUGGCAAAGUACGUGGCUCCCAAGGAGAAUAUGAUGUGGAAAAACCCGUAGUUGUAACGGAUAUCAUCCUCGGCUUUCACCUCAUCUUUGCGAAACUGGAAAACCGUAAGAG
This 364-nucleotide long non-coding RNA is filed under the name Gossypium barbadense (sea-island cotton). RNAcentral describes it as "long non-coding RNA (GBAR_LNC019989)". Lineage: Eukaryota; Viridiplantae; Streptophyta; Magnoliopsida; Malvales; Malvaceae. The record is from RNAcentral.